Molecule: ribosomal RNA, 465 nt
Filed under: Vreelandella stevensii
Lineage: Bacteria; Pseudomonadati; Pseudomonadota; Gammaproteobacteria; Oceanospirillales; Halomonadaceae
Description: partial 16S ribosomal RNA
Rfam family: Bacterial small subunit ribosomal RNA
Source: RNAcentral
CCUACGGGGGGCUGCAGCGGGGAAUAUUGGACAAUGGGGGGAACCCUGAUCCAGCCAUGCCGCGUGUGUGAAGAAGGCCCUCGGGUUGUAAAGCACUUUCAGUGAGGAAGAACGCCUGGUGGUUAAUACCCAUCAGGAAAGACAUCACUCACAGAAGAAGCACCGGCUAACUCCGUGCCAGCAGCCGCGGUAAUACGGAGGGUGCGAGCGUUAAUCGGAAUUACUGGGCGUAAAGCGCGCGUAGGUGGCUUGAUAAGCCGGUUGUGAAAGCCCCGGGCUCAACCUGGGAACGGCAUCCGGAACUGUCAAGCUAGAGUGCAGGAGAGGAAGGUAGAAUUCCCGGUGUAGCGGUGAAAUGCGUAGAGAGCGGGAGGAAUACCAGUGGCGAAGGCGGCCUUCUGGACUGACACUGACACUGAGGUGCGAAAGCGUGGGUAGCAAACAGGAUUAGAUACCCCUGUAGUC